CCUACGGGACGCAGCAGUGGGGAAUAUUGCACAAUGGGGGAAACCCUGAUGCAGCGACGCCGCGUGAGUGAAGAAGUAUUUCGGUAUGUAAAGCUCUAUCAGCAGGGAAGAAGUUGACGGUACCUGAGUAAGAAGCCCCGGCUAACUACGUGCCAGCAGCCGCGGUAAUACGUAGGGGGCAAGCGUUAUCCGGAUUUACUGGGCGUAAAGGGAGCGUAGACGGCAGUGCCAGUCUGAAGUGAAAGCCC
RNAcentral lists this ribosomal RNA (248 nucleotides) under uncultured bacterium. RNAcentral's name for it is "partial 16S ribosomal RNA". It matches the Rfam family "Bacterial small subunit ribosomal RNA", at positions 338 to 603 of the family's 1533-position model. The record is from RNAcentral.